RNAcentral lists this ribosomal RNA (501 nucleotides) under Salmonella enterica subsp. enterica serovar Agbeni. RNAcentral describes it as "partial 23S ribosomal RNA". It matches the Rfam family "Bacterial large subunit ribosomal RNA", at positions 227 to 668 of the family's 2925-position model. Lineage: Bacteria; Pseudomonadati; Pseudomonadota; Gammaproteobacteria; Enterobacterales; Enterobacteriaceae. The record is from RNAcentral.
AACCGAGAUUCCCCCAGUAGCGGCGAGCGAACGGGGAGGAGCCCAGAGCCUGAAUCAGCAUGUGUGUUAGUGGAAGCGUCUGGAAAGGCGCGCGAUACAGGGUGACAGCCCCGUACACAAAAGCGCAUGUGCUGUGAGCUCGAUGAGUAGGGCGGGACACGUGGUAUCCUGUCUGAAUAUGGGGGGACCAUCCUCCAAGGCUAAAUACUCCUGACUGACCGAUAGUGAACCAGUACCGUGAGGGAAAGGCGAAAAGAACCCCGGCGAGGGGAGUGAAAAAGAACCUGAAACCGUGUACGUACAAGCAGUGGGAGCCCCACCACUAAGCCAGUGGUGAACUCCACAUACGCAUCCUUUGCUGAGGAUACGGUUAACGGAGCGAAAGCGACGUUCAACCGCAAAAGAAGCAGAGGGGGCUUAGUGGUGGGGUGACUGCGUACCUUUUGUAUAAUGGGUCAGCGACUUAUAUUCUGUAGCAAGGUUAACCGAAUAGGGGAGCCG